Molecule: transfer RNA, 72 nt
Filed under: Bos taurus (domestic cattle)
Lineage: Eukaryota; Metazoa; Chordata; Mammalia; Artiodactyla; Bovidae
Also listed under: 2 other names
Rfam family: tRNA
About the family: Transfer RNA (tRNA) molecules are approximately 80 nucleotides in length. Their secondary structure includes four short double-helical elements and three loops (D, anti-codon, and T loops).
Source: Rfam by way of RNAcentral
UCCCAGGUGGCUCAGAUGGUAAAGAAUCUGCCUGCAACACAGGAGUCCCAGGUUCAAUCCCUGGGUUGGGAA